UGACAUCCCUUGUCCUGGAACUGGGCUUGGACCGGAUUCAGGAGCUGCCAGAGUUAUUCUUGGGACAGAACGAGUUCGACUUCAUUUCAGACUUUGUUAGCAAACAGCAACCCAGUGCCAUCAGCUGCUGAGGGGCUUUGAGCUCCUCCUUGUGUCUUGGUGGUUUUGAGUUUGUUUCUAACUUUUCCCCACCUGCCAUCCUCCUCCCUUCCCCUGCCUUGCCCUGUCCCGGAUUCCUGCCCUCCCCAAAGGGACAAUCAUCGGACACUGGCUUGCAAUGGAUUGCUUUUCUCUUCUGUGUGUUUUUUUUUUUCUGUGUGGGAGUUUCUGGAGAGGGGGUUGGUGUGCCCCAAACAGAGAGCAGAUCGAGAGCUCCUGCUGUAGAACUGCCUCUAAAUGACAUUAACAGGAUUUCUGGCUUAAGUAGAAAUAAUGGACUUACGACUUUCCUCAACCAGGCUUGGAGCACAAGAAGCCAUAGGCAGCUGGCAGCCCUGCUGGUAGCUGGAUUUGCUCGUGGAAUCCGUGGUGCCAGUGGAGUUGAAGGAUCCUUAGAGAGAAUUGUCUCCCUGGUGCAUGGUUUGAACCAGUUUUCCCUUGCAACCGUGGGUGGGGUUAGUUAUUUGUUGGGAUGUUUUACUGUGACAGUAAAUAGGUCUUCAGUCGUGUCUGUUCAGCUCGGGAAGGGUGUGCGUUUGUGCCUAAAUGUUCAUCUCCGUGGAACUUCGGAUCUCGGACCUGUACUGCUAAUCAGCUGUAAAAUUUACCAAGUGUUUGAGGUUGAUUCAGGCAUGAGGCUUAAAGCUGCAGUCUGGCUCCACUUUUUUCCACCUCUGAAACCAAAUAAAGACCAUGUAACUGUAUAUUUCAGUUCCAAUCUUAUUUAUUUUCCUGCGAUUAUUUAUUUGCAAGGGCUCCUUUUGUUAUUUGGCUUUGGGACCGCUGGGAAAGAUGCCUGGAGAGUACUGCAGCUUUAAGAUGCUGGCUUUGGGCAAAGCGAGCCGGGGAUAGUUUUCAAGCUGCUCUGCAGAAUAGUCGCUUCAGCUCGAGAUGGUUAUGCUGAACGCGCAGGACUCUAAAUCCAACACCUCUGUGAAUGUGAUAAAGAUGACUCGAUUUCCAAUUCCCUUGCUCGGAGAAGGUGAGAUGCAGGAGCCGGCGGGGUUCGGUUUCCUGCGCUGGCUCCUGUUUCCAGCGCUCCGGUGACUCCGGGCUGCUGCUGCCCCCUGGUGCUGCCGGGCCCUGGGCGAGUCGGAAUGUACGGCUGGAUUUGCGAAUAAAAGCUGAAACAUCUCCCGUGUGCGUUUGUUC
RNAcentral lists this long non-coding RNA (1311 nucleotides) under Junco hyemalis (dark-eyed junco). RNAcentral describes it as "lncRNA (ENSJHYG00000004812.1)". The record is from RNAcentral. Lineage: Eukaryota; Metazoa; Chordata; Aves; Passeriformes; Passerellidae.